Long non-coding RNA from Gossypium arboreum, 633 nucleotides. RefSeq lists it as uncharacterized. The transcript is spliced from 2 exons. The record is from RefSeq and is a predicted model, not a curated record. NCBI's taxonomy places the organism in Eukaryota, Viridiplantae, Streptophyta, Magnoliopsida, Malvales, Malvaceae.
UAAAGCGCAAUUGAAUGCUCGCAUGAGGGGAAAGAUCUAAUGCGCAAUUUCCCCAUUUUGAAAGAAAAGGCGCAGAUCCGGCUUGCUAAUUGGGUUGAUGCGCCGAUCCUUACAGCUGUGAACGGCUUCGUUUUUUUAACAAAUGAUUUAAAACCCUUUUUCCUUAUUUUCUUUUCCAAAUACAGCCAACCUUUUAACAAAAAUCUGUAGCCCUAAAAUCAGUUUGCUAGGGCUUCAUUUUAGCAACCGCCGAAUCACCAUUCCAUUUGGUGGUCGAUGGUACAUCAGCUGUGACCAAGUUUUGCCAACGAAAGCCAUGCUCGAAAAGAUUUGGAGUGGUUGUAAGGAGAAGAUGACCCUGGUGACGUGAAGGCCGCGCGUGGGGAUCUCACAUGGGAAACCGACCCUAUGGUGCUAUUCUAGUGUAUUCCAAAAGCUUCUAGAGCUCUCAGUCUGUUGAACUUUGGGUUCUUUUUGGGUUUCGAAUUUGGGCCAUCUGAAGUCGGGAAAUUGGGUUUAAAAAAUGUAUCUGGGCUGGUAUAAACUUAGCUUUUAACUUAGUUUAUUAUUUGGGCCUGAUGGUUUGUAAAGACUUGGACUUUAAGGAAUUAUUAUGUAUUUAUUUUUAAUUUA